UACGAAGGGGGCUAGCGUUGCUCGGAAUCACUGGGCGUAAAGCGCACGUAGGCGGACUUUUAAGUCAGGGGUGAAAUCCUGGAGCUCAACUCCAGAACUGCCUUUGAUACUGGAAGUCUUGAGUUCGAGAGAGGUGAGUGGAACUGCGAGUGUAGAGGUGAAAUUCGUAGAUAUUCGCAAGAACACCAGUGGCGAAGGCGGCGAUCUGGGAAGAUACUGACGCUCAGGUGCGAAAGCCAGGGGAGCGAACGGG
This 253-nucleotide ribosomal RNA is filed under the name uncultured bacterium. RNAcentral's name for it is "partial 16S ribosomal RNA". It matches the Rfam family "Bacterial small subunit ribosomal RNA", at positions 524 to 776 of the family's 1533-position model. The record is from RNAcentral.